CACAGUCCACAGCGACACGCUCUCAUUAAGGGUUAAUGUAUUAAACCAGAGUCCCCCCUGUCGGUCGUUGAUACCAUGCUCCUACCUGAUUAGCUGAAUAGGUGAUUCAGAUGAGACGGUACAGGAAUGGAGAAACUAUGAGGGAUGACUGAGGGGUGCAAGGUUAAAUAACUAUGUGGGAUGUCUGAGGGGUGCAGAGACAGUCUGGGAUAUUAAACAGAACACCCUGAUAGGAUAUUGUAUACAGUGGCUCAUGCAGGAGUCUGAUGGUAGCAGAGACAGAACACCCUGAUAGGUUCUUGUAUACAGUGGCUCAUGCAGGAGUCUGAUGGUAGCAGAGACAGUCUGGGAUAUUAAAUAGAACACCCUGAUAGGUUAUUGUAUACAGUGGCUCAUGCAGGAGUCUGAUGGUAGCAGAGACAGAACACCCUGAUAGGUUGUUGUAUACAGUGGCUCAUUCAGAAGUCCAAUGGUAGCAGAGACAGAACACCCUGAUAGGUUGUUGUAUACAGUGGCUCAUGCAGGAGUCUGAUGGUAGCAGAGACAGAACACCCUGAUAGGUUAUUGUAUACAGUGGCUCAUUCAGGAGUCUGAUGGUAGCAGAGACAGAACACCCUGAUAGGUUAUUGUAUACAGUGGCUCAUUCAGGAGUCUAAUGGUAGCAGAGACAGAACACCCUGAUAGGUUCUUGUAUACAGUGGCUCAUGCAGGAGUCUGAUGGUAGCAGAGACAGAACACCCUGAUAGGUUGUUGUAUACAGUGGCUCAUUCAGGAGUCUGAUGGUAGCAGAGACAGUCUGGGAUAUUAAAUAGAACACCCUGAUAGGUUAUUGUAUACAGUGGCUCAUGCAGGAGUCUGAUGGUAGCAGAGACAGUCUGGGAUAUUAAAUAGAACACCCUGAUAGGUUAUUGUAUACAGUGGCUCAUGCAGGAGUCGGUCCUUACACUCUAGAGGCCUUUUUUCAAGUCCUUGCUUCCCCCUCUGUAUUCCUAGAACAAUAAGCAUUCAUCUAUUGUGAUCACAGCUACCCACCUCUGUCUUCUCCUCCUCCUCUUCUCCUCCUCCUCUUCUUCUCCUCUCUUCUUCUCCUCUCUCUUCUCCUCCUCUCUCUUCUCCUCUCUCUUCUCCUCUUCUUCUCAUCCUCUAUAAUGAUGAAGUGCUCUGACAGACAGAGCUGCUGUCUUGAUAUAUCAUUCAUCACUGUGGACUGUGCUGGAGUAUGACUGCUAGUAGUUCUCUAGCCUGGCAGAGACACAGUGAGGGAAGCAGGAGUAUGGCUGCUAGUAGUUCUCUGGCCUGGCAGACACAGUGAGGUUGAAGCAGGAGUAUGGCUGCUAGUAGUUCUCUGGCCUGGCAGAGACACAGUGAGGGAAGCAGGAGUAUGGCUGCUAGUAGUUCUCUGGCCUGGCAGACACAGUGAGGGAAGCAGGAGUAUGGCUGCUAGUAGUUCUCUGGCCUGGCAGACACACAGUGGGGAAGCAGGAGUAUGGCUGCUAGUAGUUCUCUGGCCUGGCAGACACACAGUGAGGGAAGCAGGAGUAUGGCUGCUAGUAGUUCUCUGGCCUGGCAGACACACAGUGGGGGAAGCAGGAGUAUGGCUGCUAGUAGUUCUCUGGCCUGGCAGAGACACAGUGAGGGAAGCAGGAGUAUGGCUGCUAGUAGUUCUCUGGCCUGGCAGACACACAGUGAGGGAAGCAGGAGUAUGGCUGCUAGUAGUUCUCUGGCA
Molecule: long non-coding RNA, 1726 nt
Organism: Oncorhynchus tshawytscha (Chinook salmon)
Lineage: Eukaryota; Metazoa; Chordata; Actinopteri; Salmoniformes; Salmonidae
Exons: 2
Source: RefSeq, a predicted model, not a curated record